Molecule: ribosomal RNA, 455 nt
Filed under: Porphyromonas sp. oral taxon 284
Lineage: Bacteria; Pseudomonadati; Bacteroidota; Bacteroidia; Bacteroidales; Porphyromonadaceae
Description: bacterial SSU rRNA
Rfam family: Bacterial small subunit ribosomal RNA
Source: RNAcentral
GAUGAACGCUAGCGAUAGGCUUAACACAUGCAAGUCGAGGGGCAGCAUGGUCUUAGCUUGCUAAGACUGAUGGCGACCGGCGCACGGGUGCGUAACGCGUAUGCAACUUGCCUCACAGAGGGGGAUAACCCGUCGAAAGACGGACUAAUACCGCGUACACUUGGGAUAGGGCAUCCUAAUCCAAGGAAAUGAAAUUCGCUGUGAGAUAGGCAUGCGUCCCAUUAGCUAGUUGGUGAGGUAACGGCUCACCAAGGCGACGAUGGGUAGGGGAACUGAGAGGUUGAACCCCCACACUGGUACUGAGACACGGACCAGACUCCUACGGGAGGCAGCAGUGAGGAAUAUUGGUCAAUGGGCGAGAGCCUGAACCAGCCAAGUCGCGUGAAGGAUGACUGCCUUAUGGAUUGUAAACUUCUUUUGUAGGGGAAUAAAGAAUGGUACGUGUACCAUAGUGA